This 2926-nucleotide ribosomal RNA is filed under the name Enterobacter roggenkampii. Its description in RNAcentral is "bacterial LSU rRNA". It matches the Rfam family "Bacterial large subunit ribosomal RNA". Lineage: Bacteria; Pseudomonadati; Pseudomonadota; Gammaproteobacteria; Enterobacterales; Enterobacteriaceae. The record is from RNAcentral.
GGGUUGUGAGGUUAAGCGACUAAGCGUACACGGUGGAUGCCCUGGCAGUCAGAGGCGAUGAAGGACGUGCUAAUCUGCGAAAAGCGCCGGCGAGGUGAUAUGAACCUUUGACCCGGCGAUGUCCGAAUGGGGAAACCCAGUGUGUUCCGACACACUAUCGUUAACUGAAUACAUAGGUUAACGAGGCGAACCGGGGGAACUGAAACAUCUAAGUACCCCGAGGAAAAGAAAUCAACCGAGAUUCCCCCAGUAGCGGCGAGCGAACGGGGAGCAGCCCAGAGUCUGAAUCAGCUUGUGUGUUAGUGGAAGCGUCUGGAAAGUCGCACGGUACAGGGUGACAGUCCCGUACACGAAAAUGCACAGGUUGUGAACUCGAAGAGUAGGGCGGGACACGUGGUAUCCUGUCUGAAUAUGGGGGGACCAUCCUCCAAGGCUAAAUACUCCUGACUGACCGAUAGUGAACCAGUACCGUGAGGGAAAGGCGAAAAGAACCCCGGCGAGGGGAGUGAAAAAGAACCUGAAACCGUGUACGUACAAGCAGUGGGAGCACCUUCGUGGUGUGACUGCGUACCUUUUGUAUAAUGGGUCAGCGACUUAUAUUCUGUAGCAAGGUUAACCGUAUAGGGGAGCCGAAGGGAAACCGAGUCUUAACUGGGCGUUAAGUUGCAGGGUAUAGACCCGAAACCCGGUGAUCUAGCCAUGGGCAGGUUGAAGGUUGGGUAACACUAACUGGAGGACCGAACCGACUAAUGUUGAAAAAUUAGCGGAUGACUUGUGGCUGGGGGUGAAAGGCCAAUCAAACCGGGAGAUAGCUGGUUCUCCCCGAAAGCUAUUUAGGUAGCGCCUCGUGAACUCAUCUUCGGGGGUAGAGCACUGUUUCGGCUAGGGGGCCAUCCCGGCUUACCAACCCGAUGCAAACUACGAAUACCGAAGAAUGUUAUCACGGGAGACACACGGCGGGUGCUAACGUCCGUCGUGAAGAGGGAAACAACCCAGACCGCCAGCUAAGGUCCCAAAGUCAUGGUUAAGUGGGAAACGAUGUGGGAAGGCACAGACAGCCAGGAUGUUGGCUUAGAAGCAGCCAUCAUUUAAAGAAAGCGUAAUAGCUCACUGGUCGAGUCGGCCUGCGCGGAAGAUGUAACGGGGCUAAACCAUGCACCGAAGCUGCGGCAGCGACGCUUAUGCGUUGUUGGGUAGGGGAGCGUUCUGUAAGCCGUUGAAGGUGUGCUGUGAGGCAUGCUGGAGGUAUCAGAAGUGCGAAUGCUGACAUAAGUAACGAUAAAGCGGGUGAAAAGCCCGCUCGCCGGAAGACCAAGGGUUCCUGUCCAACGUUAAUCGGGGCAGGGUGAGUCGACCCCUAAGGCGAGGCCGAAAGGCGUAGUCGAUGGGAAACAGGUUAAUAUUCCUGUACUUGGUGUUACUGCGAAGGGGGGACGGAGAAGGCUAUGUUAGCCGGGCGACGGUUGUCCCGGUUUAAGCAUGUAGGCGGAGGUUCCAGGUAAAUCCGGUACCUUUUAACGCUGAGGUGUGAUGACGAGGCACUACGGUGCUGAAGUAACAAAUGCCCUGCUUCCAGGAAAAGCCUCUAAGCAUCAGGUAACAUCAAAUCGUACCCCAAACCGACACAGGUGGUCAGGUAGAGAAUACCAAGGCGCUUGAGAGAACUCGGGUGAAGGAACUAGGCAAAAUGGUGCCGUAACUUCGGGAGAAGGCACGCUGAUAUGUAGGUGAAGCCCCUGCGGGUGGAGCUGAAAUCAGUCGAAGAUACCAGCUGGCUGCAACUGUUUAUUAAAAACACAGCACUGUGCAAACACGAAAGUGGACGUAUACGGUGUGACGCCUGCCCGGUGCCGGAAGGUUAAUUGAUGGGGUUAGCGGUAACGCGAAGCUCUUGAUCGAAGCCCCGGUAAACGGCGGCCGUAACUAUAACGGUCCUAAGGUAGCGAAAUUCCUUGUCGGGUAAGUUCCGACCUGCACGAAUGGCGUAAUGAUGGCCAGGCUGUCUCCACCCGAGACUCAGUGAAAUUGAACUCGCUGUGAAGAUGCAGUGUACCCGCGGCAAGACGGAAAGACCCCGUGAACCUUUACUAUAGCUUGACACUGAACACUGGUCCUUGAUGUGUAGGAUAGGUGGGAGGCUUUGAAGUGUGGACGCCAGUCUGCAUGGAGCCGUCCUUGAAAUACCACCCUUUAAUGGCUGGUGUUCUAACGUAGACCCGUGAUCCGGGUUGCGGACAGUGUCUGGUGGGUAGUUUGACUGGGGCGGUCUCCUCCCAAAGAGUAACGGAGGAGCACGAAGGUUAGCUAAUCCUGGUCGGACAUCAGGAGGUUAGUGCAAUGGCAUAAGCUAGCUUGACUGCGAGAGUGACGGCUCGAGCAGGUGCGAAAGCAGGUCAUAGUGAUCCGGUGGUUCUGAAUGGAAGGGCCAUCGCUCAACGGAUAAAAGGUACUCCGGGGAUAACAGGCUGAUACCGCCCAAGAGUUCAUAUCGACGGCGGUGUUUGGCACCUCGAUGUCGGCUCAUCACAUCCUGGGGCUGAAGUAGGUCCCAAGGGUAUGGCUGUUCGCCAUUUAAAGUGGUACGCGAGCUGGGUUUAGAACGUCGUGAGACAGUUCGGUCCCUAUCUGCCGUGGGCGCUGGAGAAUUGAGGGGGGCUGCUCCUAGUACGAGAGGACCGGAGUGGACGCAUCACUGGUGUUCGGGUUGUCAUGCCAAUGGCACUGCCCGGUAGCUAAAUGCGGAAAAGAUAAGUGCUGAAAGCAUCUAAGCACGAAACUUGCCCCGAGAUGAGUUCUCCCUGAGACUUUAAGUCUCCUGAAGGAACGUUGAAGACGACGACGUUGAUAGGUCGGGUGUGUAAGCGCAGCGAUGCGUUGAGCUAACCGAUACUAAUGAACCGUGAGGCUUAACCUUACAACGCCGAAG